GACGAACGCUGGCGGCGUGCUUAACACAUGCAAGUCGAACGGAAAGGCCCUGCUUUUGUGGGGUGCUCGAGUGGCGAACGGGUGAGUAACACGUGAGUAACCUGCCCUUGACUUUGGGAUAACUUCAGGAAACUGGGGCUAAUACCGGAUAGGAGCUCCUGCUGCAUGGUGGGGGUUGGAAAGUUUCGGCGGUUGGGGAUGGACUCGCGGCUUAUCAGCUUGUUGGUGGGGUAGUGGCUUACCAAGGCUUUGACGGGUAGCCGGCCUGAGAGGGUGACCGGCCACAUGGGGACUGAGAUACGGCCCAGACUCCUACGGGAGGCAGCAGUGGGGAAUAUUGCACAAUGGGCGGAAGCCUGAGGCAGCAACGCCGCGUGCGGGAGGACGGCCUUCGGGUUGUAAACCGCUUUCGCCUGUGACGAAGCGUGAGUGACGGUAAUGGGUAAAGAAGCACCGGCUAACUACGU
This 467-nucleotide ribosomal RNA is filed under the name uncultured bacterium. RNAcentral describes it as "partial 16S ribosomal RNA". It matches the Rfam family "Bacterial small subunit ribosomal RNA", at positions 28 to 506 of the family's 1533-position model. The record is from RNAcentral.